RNAcentral lists this transfer RNA (89 nucleotides) under Candidatus Methanomethylicus sp. RNAcentral describes it as "tRNA-Val". It matches the Rfam family "tRNA". Rfam says of the family: Transfer RNA (tRNA) molecules are approximately 80 nucleotides in length. Their secondary structure includes four short double-helical elements and three loops (D, anti-codon, and T loops). The record is from RNAcentral. Lineage: Archaea; Thermoproteati; Thermoproteota; Methanosuratincolia; Candidatus Methanomethylicales; Candidatus Methanomethylicaceae.
GGGCCCGUAGUCUAGUAUGGUUAGGACACAAAAAGCCUAAAACCGCCUUCACACGGCGGAGGUCCGGGGUUCAAGUCCCCGCGGGCCCA